UGGUCUCAAAUCAGGUAGGGCUACCCGCUGAACUUAAGCAUAUCAAUAAGCGGAGGAAAAGAAACUAACAAGGAUUCCCUUAGUAACGGCGAGUGAACCGGGAAAAGCUCAAAUUUGUAAUCUGGCUGUCUUCGAUAGUCCGAGUUGUAAUCUAUAGACGUGUUUUCCGUGCUGGACCGUAUCUAAGUCCCUUGGAACAGGGUAUCAAAGAGGGUGACAAUCCCGUGCUUGAUACGACCACCAGUGCUCUGUGAUACACGUUCUACGAGUCGAGUUGUUUGGGAAUGCAGCUCAAAAUGGGUGGUAAAUUCCAUCUAAAGCUAAAUAUUGGCGAGAGACCGAUAGCGAACAAGUACCGUGAGGGAAAGAUGAAAAGCACUUUGGAAAGAGAGUUAAACAGUACGUGAAAUUGUUGAAAGGGAAACGAUUGAAGUCAGUCGUGUUCUUCAGAUUCAGCUGGUUCUUCCAGUCUACUUCUGUUGAACGGGUCAACAUCAGUUUUGUCCGGUGGAUAAAGAUAGUAGGAAUGUAGCUCCCCCGGGAGUGUUAUAGCCUAUUGUUGCAUACACUGGGUGAGACUGAGGACUGCAGCUCGCCUUUUGGCCGGUCUUCGGACACGUUCGAGCUUAGGAUGUUGACAUAAUGGCUUUAAACGACCCGUCUUGAAACACG
RNAcentral lists this ribosomal RNA (672 nucleotides) under Cutaneotrichosporon spelunceum. RNAcentral describes it as "partial 26S ribosomal RNA". It matches the Rfam family "Eukaryotic large subunit ribosomal RNA", at positions 1 to 663 of the family's 3401-position model. The record is from RNAcentral. Lineage: Eukaryota; Fungi; Basidiomycota; Tremellomycetes; Trichosporonales; Trichosporonaceae.